UACGUAGGGGGCAAGCGUUGUCCGGAAUUACUGGGUGUAAAGGGUGUGCAGGCGUCCUUUUAAGUUGGUUGUGAAAACCCGGAGCUCAACUCCGGAACUGCAGCCAAUACUGAAAGGAUCGAGGGUAUGAGAAGGAAGCGGAAUUCUCGGUGUAGCGGUGAAAUGCGUAGAUAUCGAGAGGAACACCUGCGGCGAAAGCGGCUUCCUAACAUACUUCUGACGCUCAUACACGAAAGCUAGGGGAGCAAACAGG
RNAcentral lists this ribosomal RNA (253 nucleotides) under uncultured bacterium. RNAcentral's name for it is "partial 16S ribosomal RNA". It matches the Rfam family "Bacterial small subunit ribosomal RNA", at positions 524 to 776 of the family's 1533-position model. The record is from RNAcentral.